Molecule: ribosomal RNA, 404 nt
Filed under: uncultured bacterium
Lineage: Bacteria
Description: bacterial SSU rRNA
Rfam family: Bacterial small subunit ribosomal RNA
Source: RNAcentral
GAUGAACGCUAGCUACAGGCUUAACACAUGCAAGUCGAGGGGAAACGAUAUUGGAAGCUUGCUUCCGAUAGGCGUCGACCGGCGCACGGGUGAGUAACGCGUAUCCAACCUGCCCAUCACUUGGGAAUAACCUUGCGAAAGUAAGACUAAUGCCCAAUGACAUUUAUAGAAGGCAUCUGAAAUGAAUUAAAGAUUUAUCGGUGAUGGAUGGGGAUGCGUCUGAUUAGCUUGUUGGCGGGGUAACGGCCCACCAAGGCGACGAUCAGUAGGGGUUCUGAGAGGAAGGUCCCCCCACAUUGGAACUGAGACACGGUCCAAACUCCUACGGGAGGCAGCAGUGAGGAAUAUUGGGUCAAUGGGCGAAGCCUGAACCAGCCAAGUAGCGUGAGGGAUGACUGCCCUAU